GGCACGCCUAACACAUGCAAGUCGAACGAAGUAGCAAUACUUAGUGGCAGACGGGUGAGUAACAUGUAGGUAUCUACCCUAUGGCCUGGAAUAACACGAGGAAACUUGUGCUAAUACUGGAUAAGUCUUUACGGAGAAAGCUUUAUGCACCAUUGGAUGAGCCUGCACUUGAUUAGUUAGUUGGUGGGGUAAUGGCCUACCAAGACUUUGAUCAAUAGCUGAUUUGAGAGGAUGAUCAGCCACAUUGGGACUGAGACACGGCCCAAACUCCUACGGGAGGCAGCAGUGGGGAAUCUUGCACAAUGGAGGAAACUCUGAUGCAGCGAUGCCGCGUGAGUGAAGAAGGCCUUUGGGUUGUAAAGCUCUUUCGUCGGGGAAGAAAAUGACUGUACCCGAAUAAGAAGGUCCGGCUAACUUCGUGCCAGCAGCCGCGGUAAUACGAAGGGACCUAGCGUAGUUCGGAAUUACUGGGCUUAAAGAGUUCGUAGGUGGUUGAAAAAGUUGGUGGUGAAAUCCCAGAGCUUAACUCUGGAACUGCCAUCAAAACUUUUCAGCUAGAGUUUGAUAGAGGAAAGCAGAAUUUCUAGUGUAGAGGUGAAAUUCGUAGAUAUUAGAAAGAAUACCAAUUGCGAAGGCAGCUUUCUGGAUCAUUACUGACACUGAGGAACGAAAGCAUGGGUAGCGAAGAGGAUUAGAUACCCUCGUAGUCCAUGCCGUAAACGAUGUGUGUUAGACGUUGGAAAUUUAUUUUCAGUGUCGCAGCGAAAGCGAUAAACACACCGCCUGGGGAGUACGACCG
RNAcentral lists this ribosomal RNA (799 nucleotides) under uncultured Pelagibacteraceae bacterium. Its description in RNAcentral is "bacterial SSU rRNA". It matches the Rfam family "Bacterial small subunit ribosomal RNA", at positions 41 to 888 of the family's 1533-position model. The record is from RNAcentral. Lineage: Bacteria; Pseudomonadati; Pseudomonadota; Alphaproteobacteria; Candidatus Pelagibacterales; Candidatus Pelagibacteraceae.